This is a long non-coding RNA of Artibeus jamaicensis (Jamaican fruit-eating bat), 3763 nucleotides long. RefSeq lists it as uncharacterized. The record is from RefSeq and is a predicted model, not a curated record. The transcript is spliced from 3 exons. NCBI's taxonomy places the organism in Eukaryota, Metazoa, Chordata, Mammalia, Chiroptera, Phyllostomidae.
UUCUGCAACAUGCUCUUGUUCCAUGAUACUGUGGUGACCAAGACCAGCUCCUACCCUUUGGAGCUUUUACUGGAGCAAACGGGCCAAAACAAAACAGAACAAAAUUGAUUGUCAUCAAAGCCAUAAAGGAAAGGAAUAGAGAGAUGGUGGGUAAGAGAACCUGUGUGAGGGGCGCUAUGUUAGUAAGUGUGGCCUAAGGAGGAAGACCUCUCUGAGGAGAGGACAUCGUGAGUUAAGAGAAGCCAAGAAUUGCAAAAGCUCCCACAGAAGAAUUGGUUUCAGAUGUCGGAGGCACAGAAGCAACCUGCACCGCUCGAACCUCGUAAAACAGGGGGAGAAGGAAAUGGGAUUGGCCGGCAAGGAGGGAUCAGGACAAACCACAGAGAAGAGAUGCCAAUGCCGAUCCCCAGAUACCUGCUGGGUGUCUGCACAUUAUCUUAGCAACUCAGGAGGCUCUCACAGCGUCAGCCUCUUGAAGUUUGAAAAUGUCUGCAUCACCAGGGCCCUGAGUUGAUCCACAUCCCAGAAUAUGCCAGGCUUCAGAGAUGCCCAGCUCUGUUGUCCAAAGAGUUUUAUUAAAAAUCGGUGAGGAGAGAAAAGAAGUCUCUGAGGGCCUGUCUGAUUUCAUUACCUCUGACAGAGCACACAGCCGGAGCAGGGCCCCAGAGGACCAAGGAGGGCCGUCCACGGUGCUGGGUGAUGCAAAGGCAUCCGGAGCCGCCGAUACUGACUCCAGAUGUCCUCGUCUGCUGGCAUCUCUCACAGAUCCCGGACUCUCCGUGUGUGACCCGGUGUCGACUUCUUAAUCAUCAACCCCCAGCAUUCUAGUCGGAAGAUGAACAUCCACAGAUCCCCAACCCUUCAUUUGUUUCCUUAAUGUAACUUCUACUGUUGCUCCUCUCAUUGGCAAAACUCUGUUCGCUAGUGGUUUUCUCUGUAAGUCCUAUUUAUUCCCCUGCAGCUUUUGUGGAUAGCCUGAAUCCGGCAUUCUGCAAAGAGGGGGUGCCACCAUUGAGACUGCAAUCCAGACAACAGUUGAAUCCUCUAAGGUCUGGAUACAGACCGCACAAGAUCCUGAGAGGCAGGGAUUCACCAGAUGCCACCAACUAAAAUGGAAGAAGAGACUGGCUUGUAUGUUCCAUAAGAAGAAGCACUUGGUCACAUAAAGAUAGCUACACAGCCAAGCAAGCUGCCUUCUCCCAUACAUAUUUUUCUGGUUGCUAAGAGAGAUCUCCAGCCUCAAAAGUGGCCCUGAGGAAAGAUGCCCGGUGGAGUUUCAGGAAGGUGUGGGAUGAACACAGAGAGUAAAGAGCCCCGGACGGGCCAUCAGGAUGCCUACUCCAGAUCAUUCUCUGGCUCCACCAUGGACUUUCUCAGCCCUAGAGACAGGUUACUAUCAAUUGAGAGCUUUUUAAAAAUACUGGUGCCUGGGCAACCCUCCAGAACAAUUAAAAUAGGAUCAGGUUAGAAUCUGUGUUGUCAUGCCAAAUUCUAGUAGAAUGUGUAAGGUUAUAAAAGGUUUGGGAGAAACUCAAAGUUAAUGCAGAUGGUGAGUGCCUUCAGUCCCCCUCCCCAUCCUUUUCCCCUUAGAGUGUGGGCAUGGCAUCGCCUAAGCCUAGGGUUCAAGGCCAGAGAGGAAGGCAGAGCUAGAUGGCAGGAGCAGGAGGACCAGCCCCAGAACUCUGUCCCAGUUUCAUCGCUGCCUGGGAAAUCCCUGCACAGUCAGCCAGGGCAGAGAAACUGCCCGGCUUACCCAAGUCCCCAAGCCCCUACCUUUGAUUUUUGGUGAGGGUCACGGUCACCACCAAAGAUAAAAGGAUUCCUCCCUCCCGCUACCAAUCCCUUUGACUUUAUCUACAACUCUGUCCCUGCUUAACCUACUUCCUGUGAUUGCAGGAGAAAGGAGGGUAGGUAGCUUUUUUUCCUGAUACAAUCAUUUCCAACUCCAGAUGAUCUGACUUAAGGUUUUUCAAAUUUAUAAUGGUGUGAAAGCAACACACAUUUAGUAGUAACUGUCCUUGGGAUUUGGGAUUUUGUUUUCCUGGACUAGCAAUGUGCUUUGUGUUGCCAGGCAGCGACCGUCAGCCAAGCGAUCAGGAGGGUAAACAACCAACACUCCACAGGUCACGGGGUGGCCAGCACUCGUUGGAUGUCAUGCUUUGUGUUUUCUCAUCACAUCAUGGCUACAAAAUACCCAUCUCUAUCUCCUGCUUCUGGAGAGAAGAGAAAGGCAAUUACCCUUGAGAAGAAACUCAAGGUAAUUGCUCAAUUGUGGGCUAAUGUAAGUGUCCUGAGCACGUUUAAGGUAGGCUAUGCUAUUCAGUGGGUUGGGUGUACUAAAUGCAUUUUCAACUUGCAGUAUUGACAAUUUUCCAGGGCUUUAUCAGGAUGUAUCCCCAUCACAAGUCAGCAUAAGCAUUAUAUAAGUCACCGCAAGCAAUGCCAGUGUGUUAGGGGGCCAUGUUAGACUUGACAAUGUUGACCUGAAAAACAUCCAAACCUGCAAAAAAUAACUUUAUAGGCUUGUACAUGAAUGAAACUGAUGACAGUUGGAGGGAAGUGACAUCUGAAAUGCUCCAGAGAAUCAAAGUGCUGCAGUUUGUUUUAUGCAUUUGGAAUUAGGAGUGAAUUAAGGAGGAUUACAUGAAGGUGGAAGAAAGUAAGACGGGGAUUGGGUUACAGCAUAGUUAAGAUUAUGGGUUCUCUGGAAGGUAGUUUUUCUUCUGAGGGGUCUAAAAGAGGCAUUUCAAAGGUGUGUUCAUCUAGAGGCACAGAAACAAUGCACAGGGCCAUUGCUUAAGGCAGAGAGGAACUUUUUACCAAAGAAGUUAUAUACUUUGGGCAUGACUACCCACCGUGGCCUGCCCAGCGAGGAAUGUAUGAUCAGAGCAGCCGGUGAGGCUACUUCCCACAGAGCCUCUUCCACCACAGCAACGACCCAGUUUUCCUACACAGCGUCACUGUCCCAUCCGGUGGGCUUGCGAGGUGCACUUGUCUGUGCAGCUAUACACAACGACCCUGAGGACACCAUGACUAGACAAGCAAGCCACAGGCACAGAAGUGCAAGUGAUUGGAUGAAUACACACACUUGCACGCUCAUGUGCAGGCACAGCCCAUAAGCUACCACCACGGCAAGGAAAGGAAAACAGCACCAACAACAAAACCAGGAGAGGGACCUAUUUUAACCUCGCCUAAUCAUACAGUUCUAUGAAAUCUGUGAUUUCGGUGGCUUCUUCUUCAGGCCUAGAAAUUAUGCUUCCCUUUGACAAGCUGAUGUAGCAUUUAAAUGACACAUUCAGCACUAGACUUCAGUGUUCUGUUUCACUGUAGGAUAGCAAUAGAGACUGGAUCCAUAUACUAGUGUCUAAUUCUCAAGUUACAUAAUUAGUAACUCUACAUCAUGAAAAAAACUGAAAGGGAAAGUCCUGCUACAAGACAGUGUCUUGUUAGGAGUCAAAGCUGAAGUUAUUCUGCAGGUUAAUACAUCUUUUUUUAGUUCCAAGGCUUCUUUAAUCCCAAGUUGUUAUUAUUUGUUUGUUUCUUUGCUUUUAUCAUCGCCAUUAUUGUUAUUACUAUGUGAUCACUGUCAAGAGAAUGUUGCUCUACCAAGUUGAAGGUCAGAGAGUGGGAGGGAGUAAGUGUGAAACUGGCAUCAUCUCAAAACUGCAGCAACUUGUAUCUUCUGAGAAGCCCUUCAGAGGGGAGGUGUUUUCUGUCCUAAUGUUCACGAGGCCCCAGUGCAUGUCACAGUUCACUCUGGUGA